UUGGAGGGCAAGUCUGGUGCCAGCAGCCGCGGUAAUUCCAGCUCCAAUAGCGUAUAUUAAAGUUGUUGCAGUUAAAAAGCUCGUAGUUGAACUUCAGACCUGGCUGGGCGGUCCGCUUAACGGCGUGUACUGUCUGGCUGGGUCUUACCUCUUGGUGAGCCGGCGUGCCCUUUAUUGGUGUGCGUCGGGGAACCAGGACUUUUACCUUGAGAAAAUUAGAGUGUUCAAAGCAGGCCUAUGCCUGAAUACAUUAGCAUGGAAUAAUAAAAUAGG
RNAcentral lists this ribosomal RNA (273 nucleotides) under uncultured Basidiomycota. RNAcentral describes it as "partial 18S ribosomal RNA". It matches the Rfam family "Eukaryotic small subunit ribosomal RNA", at positions 548 to 826 of the family's 1831-position model. Lineage: Eukaryota; Fungi; Basidiomycota. The record is from RNAcentral.